GCAAACUUGGUCAUUUAGAGGAAGUAAAAGUCGUAACAAGGUUUCCGUAGGUACGUCAGGUGUCGAGAUCCCCAGCUGGACCCCCACAUACGCCGGUAUUCUAACUCGAGACCCUACAGGUGAACCUGCGGAAGGAUCAUUAGUAUACGGGUCCCGGCCGUCCCUAGCGGGACGACCGCCGGCGGCUCAUACCCCUGAUACGCGGCCUAGCUGCUCUACGGCCGGCGUCUAGGGACGCCUAGUCCGUUAUAACCCCAACGAUGCGUUUAUAUGCGGUGGUCUAGCAUCGUCUAGCCGUCGGAGACCCUCGAGAAGACCCCCUAAAACUCUCAACAACGGAUCUCUUGGUUCCGGCAUCGAUGAAGAACGCAGC
RNAcentral lists this unclassified non-coding RNA (373 nucleotides) under uncultured fungus. RNAcentral describes it as "partial contains small subunit ribosomal RNA, internal transcribed spacer 1, and 5.8S ribosomal RNA". The stretch from base 1 to 142 matches the Rfam family "Eukaryotic small subunit ribosomal RNA", at positions 1759 to 1831 of the family's 1831-position model. Lineage: Eukaryota; Fungi. The record is from RNAcentral.